This 254-nucleotide ribosomal RNA is filed under the name uncultured bacterium. RNAcentral describes it as "partial 16S ribosomal RNA". It matches the Rfam family "Bacterial small subunit ribosomal RNA", at positions 524 to 776 of the family's 1533-position model. The record is from RNAcentral.
AACGUAGGAGGCGAGCGUUAUCCGGAUUCACUGGGCGUAAAGCGCGCGUAGGCGGUUGAUCAAGUCGGACGUGAAAGCCCCUGGCUCAACUGGGGGAGGCCGUUCGAUACUGAUCGGCUUGAGGGUGAGAGGGGAAAGUGGAAUUCCCGGUGUAGCGGUGGAAUGCGUAGAGAUCGGGAGGAACACCAGUGGCGAAGGCGGCUUUCUGGCUCACCCCUGACGCUGAUAGCGCGAAAGCGUGGGGAGCAAACGGG